UACAGAGGUGGCAAGCGUUGUUCGGAAUUACUGGGCGUAAAGGGCGCGUAGGCGGCCAUCUAAGUCAGACGUGAAAUCCCCCGGCUUAACCUGGGAACUGCGUCUGAUACUGGAAGGCUUGAGUAUGGGAGAGGGAUGUAGAAUUCCAGGUGUAGCGGUGAAAUGCGUAGAUAUCUGGAGGAACACCGGUGGCGAAGGCGGCAUCCUGGACCGAGAUUGACGCUGAGGCGCGAAAGCCAGGGGAGCAAACGGG
RNAcentral lists this ribosomal RNA (253 nucleotides) under uncultured bacterium. RNAcentral's name for it is "partial 16S ribosomal RNA". It matches the Rfam family "Bacterial small subunit ribosomal RNA", at positions 524 to 776 of the family's 1533-position model. The record is from RNAcentral.